AUUUUUAAUGUUUACUUUUAAGAGAGACAGAGAGAAAGUAUGAGGAGUGGAGCAGAGAGAGAGGGAGACAGGCCCCAAAGUAGCCCCCAGGCUCCGAGCUGUCAGCACAGAGCCCAAAGCGGGGCUCAAACUCACGAACCAUCCGAUCACGACCGGAGCUGAAGCUGGACGCUUAACCAACUGAACCACUCAGGGGCCCCAACACAAUCGUUUUAUUUUGUUAAGCACUUUCUUCCCAUAGUUCGUUGACCUUUUUCUCCCCUUCAUAGGAUCUCAGAGGUCGUACUACUCCUGAUACGUCACUCGUCUCCAGGGAACAAAACAAAAAGAAGAACAAAGAACGAAGCUUACAGGCACACGCGAUUGCUAGGGGAAGCUGUGCAGCUGCCAAGGAGUGGAGAAGGCGAGCAGAUUGGACCCCAUGCCUGGGCCUGCCCUCUUUCCACGACAGAGGUGAGGGAGGAGUGUUCAUCAGUUGUGUCUGUAGUUGAAAAUGAAAUAAAGAAAGUUUCACAACACAACAUGCA
Molecule: long non-coding RNA, 527 nt
Filed under: Felis catus (domestic cat)
Lineage: Eukaryota; Metazoa; Chordata; Mammalia; Carnivora; Felidae
Description: lncRNA (ENSFCAG00000051167.1)
Source: RNAcentral